CUGCACCUCUUGAAUGUUGAGAGUUAUUUGAUAAAGGCUGGUUGAAUGAGUUCCCUAUGAGAGGCUACUUCAUCUGCAAGAAAACAGGCGGCCGCACCAGUUUCCUCAUAUGAAAUUAAAAGGGUCAGUGGUCUAAAAUGAGUCUCUCUGGGGAGAGAGAGG
Coregonus clupeaformis (lake whitefish) is the source of this 162-nucleotide long non-coding RNA. RefSeq lists it as uncharacterized. The record is from RefSeq and is a predicted model, not a curated record. NCBI's taxonomy places the organism in Eukaryota, Metazoa, Chordata, Actinopteri, Salmoniformes, Salmonidae. The transcript has 3 exons.